AAGUCGUAACAAGGUCUCCGUAGGUGAACCUGCGGAGGGAUCAUUACAAGAACGCCCGGGCUUCGGCCUGGUUAUUCAUAACCCUUUGUUGUCCGACUCUGUUGCCUCCGGGGCGACCCUGCCUUCGGGCGGGGGCUCCGGGUGGACACUUCAAACUCUUGCGUAACUUUGCAGUCUGAGUAAACUUAAUUAAUAAAUUAAAACUUUUAACAACGGAUCUCUUGGUUCUGGCAUCGAUGAAGAACGCAGCGAAAUGCGAUACGUAGUGUGAAUUGCAGAAUUCAGUGAAUCAUCGAAUCUUUGAACGCACAUUGCGCCCCCUGGUAUUCCGGGGGGCAUGCCUGUUCGAGCGUCAUUUCACCACUCAAGCCUCGCUUGGUAUUGGGCAACGCGGUCCGCCGCGUGCCUCAAAUCGUCCGGCUGGGUCUUCUGUCCCCUAAGCGUUGUGGAAACUAUUCGCUAAAGGGUGCUCGGGAGGCUACGCCGUAAAACAACCCCAUUUCUAAGGUUGACCUCGGAUCAGGUAGGGAUACCCGCUGAACUUAA
Molecule: ribosomal RNA, 546 nt
Filed under: uncultured fungus
Lineage: Eukaryota; Fungi
Description: eukaryotic LSU rRNA
Rfam family: 5.8S ribosomal RNA (bases 202-355)
Source: RNAcentral